GCUGAGUGUGGUGGUGUGCACCCGUAAUCCCAGCUACUCGGGAGGCUGAGGUGGGAGGAUUGCUUGAGCCUGGGAGGUCCAGGUUGCAGUGAGCCAUGAUUGUGCCACUGCACUCUAGCCUGGGUGUCAGAGCAAUAUCCUGUCUCAA
This 148-nucleotide non-coding RNA is filed under the name Homo sapiens (human). The record is from Rfam by way of RNAcentral. Lineage: Eukaryota; Metazoa; Chordata; Mammalia; Primates; Hominidae.